Long non-coding RNA from Bos taurus (domestic cattle), 621 nucleotides. The record is from Ensembl. NCBI's taxonomy places the organism in Eukaryota, Metazoa, Chordata, Mammalia, Artiodactyla, Bovidae.
ACUCUAGUAUUCUUGCCUGGAGAAUCCCCACAGAGGAGCCUGGCGGGCUACAGUCCACGGGGUCGCAGAGUCGGACAUGACUGAGCGACUAAGCACAUCCCAAAAUUGGGAACUGCCUGGAAAAGGAACCAGGAAUAGCUUUUGGGUGCCCCCAGGCCCAAAAAUGUUCACACUGAUGCCAUUCGAAGAAGCAAAAAGAGUUGACAGCGUUAAUUAAACACUCCUAAGUGCUGAAAAUUCUAAUGGAGCUGCAUGCUGUGAUCUGCAUGUGGAUGGUGGAUAACUGCGGCCCCACAUCUCCAUUGAAGUUACCGGUUGAAUUUUUGGAAAAGGAAAAGGAGAUGGAUGCUGCUGUCCUAAAGCCAGUGGGUCUCCAGCACUAGAAGGAGGAUGAACAGAAAGGCCUUUCCUUACUGACAUCUGGUUCAGACGUUUUAUGGCAGAUACCUGCCUCAUCGUUGCUUUUCCAUUCUCAUAACAUCUCUCACAUUUGGAGAUUAAAAGUUCUUUAGUAACACCUUCCGGAGUGUAUACAAAAGAUUAAAAAGUGUUUAUCUUUAAAGAACCAGAAACUGGUAUCAGUGAGGAAAAGAUUCAUACAUCUUUUACAUUAUAAUCUAA